This 2079-nucleotide long non-coding RNA is filed under the name Homo sapiens (human). RNAcentral's name for it is "HSALNT0051026". The record is from RNAcentral. Lineage: Eukaryota; Metazoa; Chordata; Mammalia; Primates; Hominidae.
GCUGGGCAGCACGAUGAGGAGCCGGUUGCCAGCCCGGGUCAGCCGGACACCAAAGCCUCUGGGUGCCGGAGAAGCUGCUGCCAGCGGAGUCCAAAGUCAGCUCCAUAGAAGAUGGAGCCCCCGACUCAGUGGCGUCCUCUGCCUGACUCUGUGUUCACUUCUAUAAUAAUCUCCACUCCCUGGGAGCCUGGGGAGCUGGAGGCCAAGCUGGUUCGAUAAGGACCUGCCAUUUGGACAGGACGGGGACGCUGACAACGAUCCAGAGUCACUGGCUGCGUCCUACAUGCAGGGCCCUAUUCAAAGCCUCCACAGCACUGCUCAGCCCAUCUUCCUCACAGUACUGCUCAGCCCGUCUUCCUAACAGCACUAAGCAGGCAAUGCUGCCACCAUCCCCUUUCCAGACCAGAACCCCAAGACUCAAGAGUGGUGGAAUAAUCAGCUCAGACUCCCAGCUGACAUGUGGUGGCACGUGCUCUGGGGUUCCCGGGGUGCUGUAGGGAGCCGGCGCGCAGCUCUCUCGUCCAGGACACACGAGCAGGAGUGACCUGCGUCCAGAAGGUCCAUCACUAGCCCUGGCCAUGUGCUGAGCACCCAGGCGAUGCCACGUGGAAUCCAGAAAACACUGGAAAUCUGGAUACAGUGACAGACACAUACGGAGGGAAGAAGAUGUGAAGACAGAGAGAAGACCGUCAUCAACAAGCCAUGGAAUGCCAGAGGCCACCAGCAGCUGAGAGAAAGGCCUGCACAGACGCUCCCCACAGCCCUCAGAAGCAGCCAGCCCUGCUGACACCUUGAUCUCAGGCACCAGGAACGGUGAGACAAUACGUUUUUCUUACCCUAAGCCACCCCAUCUGUGGCCCUGUGUUAUGGCAGCCCUAGGAAACGAACACAAUUCCCUAGGCCGUACCCACCCGCUGCCUUGCUUUACACGGCUUUAGAUAUUUGCCACACCCAUGUUUCUUCUGCUUUAUCUAUGAUCAACCUAAAAGUUUUUAAAGCUUCCUCUGGACAUUUAAAGAGAGGUCCUGAGAUCCACUGGGCCUCGGUCACCUGUCCUGUAUGCCUGUCAUCCUGAGGCACUGCACGAGCACCGCACAAUGACAGUCCAAACAGAGACCAGAGCUGGGCAGGCCAAGUCAGCCCAGACCUGCCAGUAAGAAGCUGAGAGUUCCAGAGGCUGGGAAGGGUAGGGAGAAGGUAGGGGCUGGAGAGAUUUGCUAAAGGAUACAAAAUUACAGCCAGGUAGGAAGAGUAAGUUCCAGCACUAUGGUCACCUAGACCACUGUAGGGUGACUGCAGUUAACAAUAAUACACUACACAGUUUCAAACAACAUCCAUAUAUUGGAUGUUCCCAGCACAAAGAAACGAUUAAUGUUUGAUGGAGGCUAACCACCCUGAGCUCAUCACUCUACAUGACACAUGUCGAAACUUCACUAUGUACCCCAUGAAUAUGUACAAUUACUGUCAAUUCAACUAUAUAUGUGUGUGUGUGUGUGUGUGUGUGUGUGUGUGUGUGUGUGUGUGUGUGUGUGUAUUUUAAAAGCUGGAGGGCUAGCUGCCCCCAAAUAUGGUUCAGGAAGCCAGGAAAAAGAGCCCCAUCUUAUGCGCCUACAUACAAAAGGGAAGAAGCUUGUCGGCCGAGUUACCAUCCAAAACCCUUUUGGCUUGGUAGUGUUUGGGGAGGAUGAAAGAAUAAAGCCGCAGAUCUUUUCAUUACUCCUGCAUCUCCUCCUCUCUCUUCUUCAACGCUCGUGCCAACCCCCCAUUCCCACUUUACACCGAGGAAAAGUGGAUUGAGAGGUGGAGGGAUCUGCCUGGGGCCAUGUGGCUGGCAGGUGGCAGAGUAGGGACUUGGGUCCUUGCUCCCCUGCUGCCAAUGCCCGGAGGGUUUCAAAAGCAGCUCAGGUCUGUGGUGCGAGAGGGAAGGCGGCCGCACUGAGUGCUGUCAGAGCAAACGGGCGUCCAUUCUGCUGCUCUCCUGUCAGUGUGGACUCUGUCUCUCUAACUGCGCCAAGGGUUUCCAGUCACUGUGCUCUCAAGAGUGACAGUCAUUAAAUCAGCAUAGCCAGCAUCUCCACA